CAACCGAAUAGGGGGAGCUGCCAUACGGCGGCUGAGAGGGGACGAUGCGUCCCGACCCGGAACCUGAUUUGGGUAAUGCCAACGUAGGGAUAAACAUGCGCACAGCA
Molecule: non-coding RNA, 107 nt
Filed under: Centipeda noxia
Lineage: Bacteria; Bacillati; Bacillota; Negativicutes; Selenomonadales; Selenomonadaceae
Description: Selenomonas noxia TPP sequence
Rfam family: TPP riboswitch aptamer (THI element)
About the family: Vitamin B(1) in its active form thiamin pyrophosphate (TPP) is an essential coenzyme that is synthesised by coupling of pyrimidine and thiazole moieties in bacteria. The previously detected thiamin-regulatory element, thi box was extended, resulting in a new, highly conserved RNA secondary structure, the THI element, which is widely distributed in eubacteria and also occurs in some archaea.
Source: RNAcentral